CACCGGUUCGAUUCCGGUUGCCGCCUCCAAGACAUAUGCCGGUGUGGCGGAAUUGGCAGACGCGCACGACUCAA
This 74-nucleotide transfer RNA is filed under the name Halobacillus sp. BAB-2008. Its description in RNAcentral is "tRNA-Cys". Lineage: Bacteria; Bacillati; Bacillota; Bacilli; Caryophanales; Bacillaceae. The record is from RNAcentral.